GACGAACGCUGGCGGCGUGCCUAAUACAUGCAAGUGGGACGCAAGGGAACACACUGUGCUUGCACACCGUGUUUUCUUGAGUCGCGAACGGGUGAGUAACGCGUAGGUAACCUGCCUAUUAGCGGGGGAUAACUAUUGGAAACGAUAGCUAAUACCGCAUAAUAUUAAUUAUUGCAUGAUAAUUGAUUGAAAGAUGCAAGCGCAUCACUAGUAGAUGGACCUGCGUUGUAUUAGCUAGUUGGUAAGGUAAGAGCUUACCAAGGCGACGAUACAUAGCCGACCUGAGAGGGUGACCGGCCACACUGGGACUGAGACACGGCCCAGACUCCUACGGGAGGCAGCAGUAGGGAAUCUUCGGCAAUGGACGAAAGUCUGACCGAGCAACGCCGCGUGAGUGAAGAAGGUUUUCGGAUCGUAAAGCUCUGUUGUAAGUCAAGAACGUGUGUGAGAGUGGAAAGUUCACACAGGA
This 469-nucleotide ribosomal RNA is filed under the name Streptococcus mutans. RNAcentral describes it as "bacterial SSU rRNA". It matches the Rfam family "Bacterial small subunit ribosomal RNA", at positions 28 to 472 of the family's 1533-position model. The record is from RNAcentral. Lineage: Bacteria; Bacillati; Bacillota; Bacilli; Lactobacillales; Streptococcaceae.